CAAACUGAAGAUGGCGGCCGGGCGCACGGGUGAGUAACACGUAUCCAACCUGCCGAUAACUCCGGAAUAGCCUUUCGAAAGAAAGAUUAAUACCGGAUAGUAUACGAAUAUCGCAUGAUAUUUUUAUUAAAGAAUUUCGGUUAUCGAUGGGGAUGCGUUCCAUUAGUUUGUUGGCGGGGUAACGGCCCACCAAGACUACGAUGGAUAGGGGUUCUGAGAGGAAGGUCCCCCACAUUGGAACUGAGACACGGUCCAA
This 256-nucleotide ribosomal RNA is filed under the name uncultured bacterium. Its description in RNAcentral is "partial 16S ribosomal RNA". It matches the Rfam family "Bacterial small subunit ribosomal RNA", at positions 74 to 334 of the family's 1533-position model. The record is from RNAcentral.